GGUCCCUAUCUGCCGUGGGCGUUGGAUGAUUGAAGGGAGUUGCUCCUAGUACGAGAGGACCGGAGUGAACGAACCUCUGGUGUUCGGGUUGUCACGCCAGUGGCACUGCCCGGUAGCUAAGUUCGGAAUCGAUAACCGCUGAAAGCAUCUAAGCGGGAAGCGAGCCCUGAGAUGAGUCAUCCCUGACCCCUUGAGGGUCCUAAAGGGCCGUUGGAGACCACAACGUUGAUAGGUGGGGUGUGUAAGCGCAGUGAUGUGUUGAGCUAACCCAUACUAAUUACCCGUGAGGCUUAACCAUACAACACCCAAGAAGUGUUCUG
This 320-nucleotide ribosomal RNA is filed under the name Aeromonas salmonicida subsp. salmonicida. RNAcentral's name for it is "partial 23S ribosomal RNA". It matches the Rfam family "Bacterial large subunit ribosomal RNA", at positions 2633 to 2925 of the family's 2925-position model. The record is from RNAcentral. Lineage: Bacteria; Pseudomonadati; Pseudomonadota; Gammaproteobacteria; Aeromonadales; Aeromonadaceae.